UCCUGGCUCAGCUUGAACGCUGGCGGCAUGGCUAAAGCAUGCAAGUCGAACGAGAACCUGGCUUCGGCCAGGGGACAGUGGCGAACGGGCGAGUAACACCUUCCUAACGUACCCUGCAAUCAGGGAUAGCUCGGGGAAACCCGUGGUAAUACCUGAUGAUCCCACAGGAUCGCAUGACCCUGUGGGCAAAGGUCCGCCGUUGCAGGAUCGGGGAAGGCGCUAUCAGGUUGUUGGUAAGGUAACGGCUUACCAAGCCUAAGACGGCUAGCGGGCGUGAGAGCGCGACCCGCCGCAUCGGGACUGAGACACUGCCCGGACUCCUACGGGAGGCUGCAGCAACGAAUCUUCCGCAAUGCGCGAAAGCGUGACGGAGCAAUGCCGCGCGUAGGAUGAAGCCCCUCGGGGUGUAAACUACUGUCAGGGCUUAGGAAAUUUGACUAAACCCAAAGGAAGGGCCGGCUAACUUCGUGCCAGCAGCCGCGGUAAUACGAAGGGCCCGAGCGUUAAGCGGAUUCACUGGGCUUAAAGCGUGCGUAGGCUGGCCAGUAAGUGUCUUGUGAAAUCCCACUGCUCAACGGUGGAAUUGCAGGGCAAACUGCUGGUCUUGAGGCCGGAAGGGGUCGUCGGAACUCUAGGUGUAGCGGUGAAAUGCGUAGAUAUCUAGAGGAACGCCAAAGACGAAGGUAGACGACUGGGCCGGUUCUGACGCUGAGGCACGAAAGCGUGGGGAGCAAACAGGAUUAGAUACCCUGGUAGUCCACGCCGUAAACGAUGUACACUAGGUCCGGGAGGUUCUGACACCCUCCGGGCCGAAGGAAAACCAUUAAGUGUACCGCCUGGGGAGUACGGUCGCAAGGCUAAAACUCAAAGGAAUUGACGGGGGCUCACACAAGCGGUGGAGCAUGUGGCUUAAUUCGAGGCAACGCGAAGAACCUUAUCCUGGGUUUGACAUGUUGUGUUCAUCCAUGGAAACAUGGUGUCCUUCGGGAGAACAACACAGGUGCUGCAUGGCUGUCGUCAGCUCGUGCCGUGAGGUGUUAGGUUAAGUCCUUCAACGAGCGAAACCCUUACCACUAGUUGCCAGCGAGUCAAGUCGGGGACUCUAGUGGGACUGCCGAUGUCAAAUCGGAGGAAGGUGGGGAUGACGUCAAGUCCUCAUGGCCUUUAUGCCCAGGGCUGCACACGUGCUACAAUGGCGCGUACAGAGUGAAGCAAUGCCGCGAGGCGGAGCAAAUCGCAAAAAACGCGCCCCAGUUCGGAUUGCAGUCUGCAACUCGACUGCAUGAAGCCGGAAUCGCUAGUAAUCGCGUAUCAGCAACGACGCGGUGAUACGUUCCUGAGCCUUGUACACACCGCCCGUCAAGUCAUGGAAGCCGGGAGUGCCCGAAGUCGCACCGAUUCAGGUGUGCAUACGGCAAGCUCGGUGACUGGGACUAAGUCG
Molecule: ribosomal RNA, 1441 nt
Filed under: uncultured organism
Description: bacterial SSU rRNA
Rfam family: Bacterial small subunit ribosomal RNA
Source: RNAcentral